GACGAACCGGACAAACGUUAUCCGGAAUUAUUGGGCGUAAAGAGCUCGUAGGCGGUUUGUCGCGUCUAUCGUGAAAGUCCGAGGCUCAACCUCGGAUCUGCGGUGGGUACGGGCAGACUAGAGUGAUGUAGGGGAGACUGGAAUUCCUGGUGUAGCGGUGAAAUGCGCAGAUAUCAGGAGGAACACCGAUGGCGAAGGCAGGUCUCUGGGCAUUAACUGACGCUGAGGAGCGAAAGCAUGGGGAGCGAACAGG
RNAcentral lists this unclassified non-coding RNA (253 nucleotides) under uncultured Micrococcaceae bacterium. Its description in RNAcentral is "contains 16S-23S intergenic spacer region". It matches the Rfam family "Bacterial small subunit ribosomal RNA", at positions 524 to 776 of the family's 1533-position model. Lineage: Bacteria; Bacillati; Actinomycetota; Actinomycetes; Micrococcales; Micrococcaceae. The record is from RNAcentral.